UAGGUUGGUUGGCGUCGGAGCAAAGAUCUGCCACAUCUGGAGAGCAUUCAAGAGUCUGGAAAAAGCAGGUUUCUGUUUCCCUAGCUGAUGGCUCAGGUGG
Xenopus laevis (African clawed frog) is the source of this 100-nucleotide long non-coding RNA. RefSeq lists it as uncharacterized. NCBI's taxonomy places the organism in Eukaryota, Metazoa, Chordata, Amphibia, Anura, Pipidae. The transcript has 3 exons. The record is from RefSeq and is a predicted model, not a curated record.